GCUCACUUCGGCAGCACAUAUACUAAAAUUGGAACAAUACAGAGAAAAUUCGCACGGUCCUUGCCCCAGGAUGAUCCAACUGGCAUAACUGAAUUUC
Molecule: small nuclear RNA, 97 nt
Filed under: Zalophus californianus (California sea lion)
Lineage: Eukaryota; Metazoa; Chordata; Mammalia; Carnivora; Otariidae
Source: RNAcentral